This 504-nucleotide ribosomal RNA is filed under the name uncultured bacterium. RNAcentral's name for it is "partial 16S ribosomal RNA". It matches the Rfam family "Bacterial small subunit ribosomal RNA", at positions 30 to 523 of the family's 1533-position model. The record is from RNAcentral.
AUUGAACGCUGGCGGCAGGCCUAACACAUGCAAGUCGGACGGUAGCACAGAGAGCUUGCUCUCGGGUGACGAGUGGCGGACGGGUGAGUAAUGUCUGGGGAUCUGCCCGAUAGAGGGGGAUAACCACUGGAAACGGUGGCUAAUACCGCAUAACGUCGCAAGACCAAAGAGGGGGACCUUCGGGCCUCUCACUAUCGGAUGAACCCAGAUGGGAUUAGCUAGUAGGCGGGGUAACGGCCCACCUAGGCGACGAUCCCUAGCUGGUCUGAGAGGAUGACCAGCCACACUGGAACUGAGACACGGUCCAGACGCCUACGGGAGGCAGCAGUGGGGAAUAUUGCUCAAUGGGCGCAAGCCUGAUGCAGCCAUGCCGCGUGUAUGAAGAAGGCCUUCGGGUUGUAAAGUACUUUCAGCGGGGAGGAAGGCGAUAAGGUUAAUAACCUUGUCGAUUGACGUUACCCGCAGAAGAAGCACCGGCUAACUUCGUGCCAGCCGCCGCCGUAA